UUUAGGAAGCUAUCAUUCUUUAGAGGGCAAUGACCAAACAGUACCAGCAGAAAUUGAAGUACCAGCAGAAGGCUAAGAAGGGAUCAUGGCACAAGCUGCAGUUUCCACCCUGCCCAUUGAAGAUGAGGAGUCCAUGGAAGAUGAGGAGUCCGUUGAAGAUGAGUCUGUUGAAGAUGAGUCCGCAGAGAGCAGGAUGGUGGUGACAUUGCUCAUAUCAGCUCUUGAGUCCAUGGAUCAUGGCACAAGUUGCAGUUUCCACUCUGCCCAUUGAAGAUGAGGAGUCUGCUGAAGAUGAGGAGACAUUGGAGAGCAGGAUGGUGGUGACAUUCCUAAUGUCAGCUCUUGAGUCCACGGUCAGACCUUCUGUUCUCACAUUCUGUAGUUUGGUAGGACUGGGCAAUAGAUAAGGUUGAUUUAUUUUUGUAGAACUUACAAUUUUAUGAUUUUCAGUUCUAAUGAGUAGACCUUUUUCGUGAAUAGUAGUUAUGGUUAAACACCUCUAACCAAAUGUGCAUGUGGAGUUUCUACACUGAUUUUCAGACAAUCUGGAUCCCAACUGGGUAUCCCACAAUUCCAUCCUGACACUCCCUGGAGUUAGUGCAGACCCCGCAGGAUGGGGGCUCAGUCCCAGGAGUCUACCCUCACUCCACAUGCCAAUUGCAAGUCUUGGGUUGUUGCAUGUAGUUUUGACCGACCAGUUAGAAAACAGGGUUUCAUGACCCCGUUGCUGGGUGGAAUCAUUUGCUCGGACAGCUUGCAGAACUCAGAAAAACAGAUUGUUUUCUUUUUUUUC
This 793-nucleotide long non-coding RNA is filed under the name Homo sapiens (human). Its description in RNAcentral is "HSALNT0352170". The record is from RNAcentral. Lineage: Eukaryota; Metazoa; Chordata; Mammalia; Primates; Hominidae.